RNAcentral lists this ribosomal RNA (424 nucleotides) under uncultured prokaryote. Its description in RNAcentral is "bacterial SSU rRNA". It matches the Rfam family "Bacterial small subunit ribosomal RNA", at positions 355 to 796 of the family's 1533-position model. The record is from RNAcentral.
UGGGGAAUAUUGGACAAUGGGCGCAAGCCUGAUCCAGCCAUGCCGCGUGAGUGAAGAAGGCCUUAGGGUUGUAAAGCUCUUUCACCUGCGAAGAUGAUGACGGUAGCAGGAGAAGAAGCCCCGGCUAACUCCGUGCCAGCAGCCGCGGUAAUACGGAGGGGGCUAGCGUUGUUCGGAUUUACUGGGCGUAAAGGGCGCGUAGGCGGUAUGUCGUGUCAGGGGUGAAAGGCCUGGGCUCAACCCAGGAAUUGCCUUUGAAACAGGCAAACUAGAGACCGAUAGAGGAUGGCGGAAUUCCCAGUGUAGAGGUGAAAUUCGUAGAUAUUGGGAAGAACACCAGUGGCGAAGGCGGCCAUCUGGAUCGGCACUGACGCUGAGGCGCGAAAGCGUGGGGAGCAAACAGGAUUAGAUACCCCUGUAGUCC